ACAAGUCCACCCAACCAAAAACCCUUCUCACUUUCCAGAGUCCCGAUCAUCCCAAAAUCCCCAUUCCACCACCACACGCGCCACCACAAAAAAAGAUGCCCACCACCGGCGCCGCCGCCACAACCUCCAUUUCCACCACCUCACUAACCACCCACUUAGCCCUUCUAACCAUCUUCUCCGCCACCACUCUAUACUGUCUCUACAAAUCACGCCGCCCAAAACCACCACCACCAUCAUCAAACCCUAACAACAAGCCCAAAAUCUUUUUCAUAUCACAAACCAACACUUCAAAAACCUUGGCCCAUAAUCUUUACAACAAGCUAACAAACACCCAUAACUUUGUUUUUGACUUAGUUGACCCAAAUCAUUAUGACCCCGAAGACUUACAAAACGAAAGUUUGGUCAUUUUUGUCGUGUCGACUUGGGAAGGCGGAAACCCGCCUUCGAAUGGUGAGUUUUUGUUUAAUUGGUUGAAUGAAAGUGCUGAGGAUUUUAGAGUUGGGUCAUUGUUGUUGAAUAAAUGUAGGUUUUGUGUUUUUGGUGUUGGGAGUAAAAUGUAUGGUGAGGAAAUGUAUAAUGUAGUUGGGAAAAGCGUAUCGAGGGCGAUGAAAGCGCUUGGGGCGGUUGAGGUUUUGCCGUUUUGUGAUGGGGAUGUUGAUGAGGGGGAUUUGGAUGAGGUUUUCGGUAGUUGGUGUAAAGACGUUGUGAGGGUUUUGAAGUCGGGCGAGAUUGAAGGGAAUGUUGGGGGGAUAAAUGGAGUGAAUGGGGAGGGGGUGAGUGAGGGAUCGGAUUAUGAGGAUGAGGACGAUGAGGAUUACGAGGAGGAGGAGGAAGAGCAAGAGGAAAAUGGGAUUGUGGAUUUGGAAGAUAUUGCGGGAAAGGCGCCUACUAAGAAAGAAAUGGGAGUGGUUAAAAGUGAUGUGAAAAAGAACGGAGUGAAGGAAAUGGUGACUCCGGUAAUUAGGGCUAGUUUGACUAAACAGGGGUAUAAGAUUAUUGGUUCGCAUAGCGGUGUUAAAAUAUGUAGGUGGACAAAAUCACAACUUAGAGGGCGUGGAGGCUGUUAUAAACAUUCCUUUUAUGGUAUCGAGAGUCACAGGUGUAUGGAGGCUACGCCAAGUUUGGCAUGUGCAAAUAAAUGUGUAUUUUGUUGGAGACAUCACACUAAUCCUGUUGGGAAAAGUUGGCAAUGGAAGAUGGAUGACCCAUUGAUGAUUGUGAAUUCUGCCAUAGAACAACAUAAGAAAAUGAUAAAGCAAAUGAAAGGAGUUCCAGGUGUUACAGCUGAACGGUUAUCAGAAGGCCUGUUGCCCAGGCAUUGUGCAUUGUCACUUGUUGGAGAGCCAAUUAUGUAUCCUGAAAUCAAUUCACUUGUAGAUGAGCUCCACCAAAGGCGAAUUUCCACUUUCCUUGUGACAAAUGCGCAGUUUCCUGAGAAGAUUGUGUCGCUAAAACCCAUCACACAGUUAUAUGUUAGCGUAGAUGCGGGAACAAAGGACAGCUUGAAGGCAAUUGACAGACCACUCUUUGGGGACUUCUGGGAACGUUUUCUUGACUCUUUGAAAGCUUUGAGGGAUAAGCAGCAGCGCACCGUGUAUCGUCUAACACUUGUUAAGGGAUGGAACACAGAGGACAUAGAAGCCUAUUCUAGUCUCUUUUCCAUUGGAAACCCUGAUUUCGUUGAAAUCAAAGGUGUUACCUAUUGUGGAACGUCUGCUACAUCAAAGUUAACAAUGGAAAACGUACCAUGGCAUGCUGACGUCAGGGCGUUUUCCGAGGCCUUAGCUGAAAAAAGCAAUGGAGAGUAUGGGGUUGCUUGUGAGCACGUGCACUCGUGUUGUGUUCUUCUGGCAAAAGUUGACAAGUUCAAGAUUGAUGGUCAGUGGCACACAUGGAUUGAUUAUGAGAAGUUCCAUGACUUGGUGGCUUCUGGAAAGUCUUUUGGCAGCAAUGAUUACAUGGCUGUUACUCCAUCUUGGGCUGUCUAUGGGGCUAAUGAAGGUGGGUUUGAUCCAGAGCAGGCUCGGUAUAAGAAAGAAAGGAAUCACAAAUCUAGCCGCUAACUCACCAGGUGAGUCUAUCAUGUGAAAGCGGCACGGAUUGGAAAAUGGGGAGGUCAGGUUUGUUCUGUUAACCUCUACAAUCAAGAGAGCUUGGAAUCUAUGUCAGUUGGCUCUCUUAUCCUCAUUUUUGUGACCAGUUUCUAAACCCCUAGUUCGAAGUGUUGGCACAAAGCUUUUUUGAAGGGUACAGUUUUGCUAGAGCUUUUAGUUUAGUCGAAAAGCUUACUUUCUAUCACUGUAUAAGGAUAAUUCUGUAGGCUA
Molecule: RNA transcript, 2324 nt
Organism: Erigeron canadensis
Lineage: Eukaryota; Viridiplantae; Streptophyta; Magnoliopsida; Asterales; Asteraceae
Gene name: S-adenosyl-L-methionine-dependent tRNA 4-demethylwyosine synthase
Exons: 9
Source: RefSeq, a predicted model, not a curated record